AAUCUGGGGCCAUCGGCCUCCGAGUUGUAAUUUGGAGGGGCCCCUUCGGUGGGGAGCGCCGGCCCAUGUUCCUUGGAACAGGACGUCACAGAGGGUGAGAAUCCCGUGCCCGGCCGGCCGACUCCUCCCGUGUGAAGGACCUUCGAAGAGUCGAGUUGUUUGGGAAUGCAGCUCCAAGCGGGUGGUAAAUUUCAUCUAAAGCUAAAUACCGGCGGGAGACCGAUAGCGCACAAGUAGAGUGAUCGAAAGAUGAAAAGCACUUUGAAAAUAGAGUCAAAAAGUACGUGAAAUUGUUGAAAGGGAAGCGCUUGAGACCAGACUCAGACCCGAGCAAACACCGUGCCCCUCGGGGCCGUGCAAUUGCCCGGGGCUGGGCCAGCAUCAGUCGGCGUGGCGGGACAAAGGCGCGGGCAAUGUGGCUCCCCUCGGGGAGCGUUAUUAGGCCCGAGCUCAAUGCCGCCGACGUCGACUGAGGACCGCGCCCCGGCUAGGAUGCUGGCUUAAUGGCCUUCAGCGACCCGUCUUGAAACACGGA
This 535-nucleotide ribosomal RNA is filed under the name Helvella fusca. RNAcentral's name for it is "eukaryotic LSU rRNA". It matches the Rfam family "Eukaryotic large subunit ribosomal RNA", at positions 119 to 665 of the family's 3401-position model. Lineage: Eukaryota; Fungi; Ascomycota; Pezizomycetes; Pezizales; Helvellaceae. The record is from RNAcentral.